GUUUUCCACAAGACUGGCAUGAAAAAGGCCUCUCCCCAGUAUGAAUUUUCUUGUGACGAUUUAAAUCACUACGUUGAGAGAAACUCUUUCCACAUGAUUGGCAUGAAAAAGGUCUCUCACCUGUAUGAAUUUUCCUGUGACGAUAAAAAUUACUAAUAUG
Long non-coding RNA from Xiphophorus couchianus (Monterrey platyfish), 160 nucleotides. RefSeq lists it as uncharacterized. Lineage: Eukaryota; Metazoa; Chordata; Actinopteri; Cyprinodontiformes; Poeciliidae. The record is from RefSeq and is a predicted model, not a curated record. The transcript is spliced from 2 exons.